GAUGAACGCUGGCGGCGUGCUUAACACAUGCAAGUCGAACGGAAAGGCCUGUACUUGUACAGGUACUCGAGUGGCGAACGGGUGAGUAACAAGUGGGUGAUCUGCCCUGCACUGUGGGAUAAGCCCGGGCAACUGGGUCUAAUAACAAAUAGGACCACUUCUUGGAUGUUGUGGUGGAAAGCUUUUGCGGUGUGGGAUGAGCUUGCGGCCUAUCAGCUUGUUGGUGGGGUAAUGGCCUACCAAGGCGGCGACGGGUAUCCGGCCUGAGAGGGUGUACGGACACAUUGGGACUGAGAUACGGCCCAGACUCCUACGGGAGGCAGCAGUGGGGAAUAUUGCACAAUGGGCGCAAGCCUGAUGCAGCGACGCCGCGUGGGGGAUGACGGCCUUCGGGUUGUAAACUCCUUUCGCUAUCGACGAAGCCACCUUGGGUGGUGACGGUAGGUAGAUAAGAAGCACCGGCUAACUACGUGCCAGCAGCCGCCGUAA
RNAcentral lists this ribosomal RNA (489 nucleotides) under uncultured bacterium. Its description in RNAcentral is "partial 16S ribosomal RNA". It matches the Rfam family "Bacterial small subunit ribosomal RNA", at positions 28 to 523 of the family's 1533-position model. The record is from RNAcentral.